GACGAACGCUGGCGGCGUGCUUAACACAUGCAAGUCGAGCGGUAAGGCCCUUUCGGGGGUACACGAGCGGCGAACGGGUGAGUAACACGUGGGUGACCUGCCCUCAGCUCUGGGAUAAGCCUGGGAAACUGGGUCUAAUACUGGAUAUGACUCCACGGUGCAUGUCGUGGGGUGGAAAGCCUUGUGCGGCUGAGGAUGGGCCCGCGGCCUAUCAGCUUGUUGGUGGGGUGAUGGCCUACCAAGGCGACGACGGGUAGCCGGCCUGAGAGGGCGACCGGCCACACUGGGACUGAGACACGGCCCAGACUCCUACGGGAGGCGGCAGUGGGGAAUCUUGCGCAAUGGGCGAAAGCCUGACGCAGCGACGCCGCGUGAGGGAUGACGGCCUGG
Molecule: ribosomal RNA, 390 nt
Filed under: uncultured bacterium
Lineage: Bacteria
Description: bacterial SSU rRNA
Rfam family: Bacterial small subunit ribosomal RNA
Source: RNAcentral